CGUGCUAAUCUGCGAUAAGCGUCGGUAAGGUGAUAUGAACCGUUAUAACCGGCGAUUUCCGAAUGGGGAAACCCAGUGUGUUUCGACACACUAUCAUUAACUGAAUCCAUAGGUUAAUGAGGCGAACCGGGGGAACUGAAACAUCUAAGUACCCCGAGGAAAAGAAAUCAACCGAGAUUCCCCCAGUAGCGGCGAGCGAACGGGGAGCAGCCCAGAGCCUGAAUCAGUAUGUGUGUUAGUGGAAGCGUCUGGAAAGGCGCGCGAUACAGGGUGACAGCCCCGUACACAAAAAUGCACAUGCUGUGAGCUCGAUGAGUAGGGCGGGACACGUGGUAUCCUGUCUGAAUAUGGGGGGACCAUCCUCCAAGGCUAAAUACUCCUGACUGACCGAUAGUGAACCAGUACCGUGAGGGAAAGGCGAAAAGAACCCCGGCGAGGGGAGUGAAAAAGAACCUGAAACCGUGU
RNAcentral lists this ribosomal RNA (465 nucleotides) under Escherichia coli. RNAcentral describes it as "partial 23S ribosomal RNA". It matches the Rfam family "Bacterial large subunit ribosomal RNA", at positions 57 to 561 of the family's 2925-position model. The record is from RNAcentral. Lineage: Bacteria; Pseudomonadati; Pseudomonadota; Gammaproteobacteria; Enterobacterales; Enterobacteriaceae.